Long non-coding RNA from Triticum urartu, 837 nucleotides. RefSeq lists it as uncharacterized. Lineage: Eukaryota; Viridiplantae; Streptophyta; Magnoliopsida; Poales; Poaceae. The record is from RefSeq and is a predicted model, not a curated record.
CAUGAGCAACCAUUUUCAGGUUGUAAACAGAAUCCAGAAAUUACGGAAGACUGCUCAGCUUGAACCUACAGACUUAAUUGAUGUUUACUACGAGUCUGUAGACAACAGCAGCAAUACACUUUAAGAAAUUUUGCAGUCACAGGAUCAGUAUAUUAGGGACGUGCUUGGUAAUUCACUAGUUCCAAAGGCAGCGGCAACAUCAGAUAUGGUAGAAGAUAGCGACAGAGUUUGAAGGUAUAUGCAAAGAUCUUCUCCUCCGUCGCCGUCCGCGACAAAGCUGUUGGGUGCAUCCAUCCAUCAUCUUUAGAUCUGAGUGAAGAGGGCAUCCAUCCAUCUCAAAAGGUUUAAGUUUUGUACCAGCUAAUUAACUUGUCUUUUCAUCAGUUCCUCGAGUAAUUGGAAAGGGGAUUAUAUUAGACUGCUAGCUGAUUCUUGGUGAAAAUUGCUUUGCCUGUAUGUAUGUAGAGAGUCUUGUAGCAAUUAUUCUUAGAGUAAACCAGAGCAGUAUUCGAUGAUAUAUUGUGAGUCACUGAAAAUGUAUAUUGUUUUUUCUUCAGGAUAUGGAUGACCAUCUGCAGGUAUGCAGGUUUCUUCCCAAACUUAACGACGAGAUACUAGGUGAAAGAAAUGCUCUCUACAAGGAAAGGUUGAGCAGCCUAGAGAAUUUAGUACUGAUCAUGAGGUGAUCGACGCAGACUACCGCGAUCCGAUGGGCGUCGUGCUCUUCAACAACUCGGAGGCGGACUUUGCUGUGAAGCCCGGCGACCGCGUCAUACAGAUGAUUGUCCAGGUGAUUGCGAUGCCGGAGGUCGCCGAGGUGGAAGACCUUGACAUCAC